UCGGGAAUAUUGGUCAAUGGGUGCGAGCCUGAACCAGCCAUGCCGCGUGCAGGAAGAAGGCCUUCUGGGUUGUAAACUGCUUUUACCAGGGGAUAAAAACGUUUUGCGAAACGGAUUGAAGGUACCUGGGGAAUAAGCCACGGCUAACUACGUGCCAGCAGCCGCGGUAAUACGUAGGUGGCGAGCGUUGUCCGGAUUUAUUGGGUUUAAAGGGUGCGUAGGCGGCUUAUUAAGUCAGUGGUGAAAGACGGCAGCUUAACUGUCGAGGUGCCAUUGAUACUGAUGAGCUAGAGUACUGAUGAGGUAGGCGGAAUGGACGGUGUAGCGGUGAAAUGCAUAGAUAUCGUCCAGAACACCGAUAGCGAAGGCAGCUUACUAAGGAGUAACUGACGCUGAGGCACGAAAGUGUGGGGAUCAAACA
RNAcentral lists this ribosomal RNA (421 nucleotides) under uncultured Bacteroidota bacterium. RNAcentral's name for it is "uncultured Bacteroidetes bacterium partial 16S ribosomal RNA". It matches the Rfam family "Bacterial small subunit ribosomal RNA", at positions 355 to 774 of the family's 1533-position model. Lineage: Bacteria; Pseudomonadati; Bacteroidota. The record is from RNAcentral.